GAGUUUGAUCCUGGCUCAGGAUGAACGCUAGCGGCAGGCUUAACACAUGCAAGUCGAGGGGUAUAGUUCUUCGGAAUUAGAGACCGGCGCACGGGUGCGUAACGCGUAUGCAAUCUACCUUUCACAGAGGGAUAGCCCAGAGAAAUUUGGAUUAAUACCUCAUAGUAUAACGACUCUGCAUGGAGAUGUUAUUAAAGUCACAACGGUGAAAGAUGAGCAUGCGUCCCAUUAGCUAGUUGGUAAGGUAACGGCUUACCAAGGCUACGAUGGGUAGGGGUCCUGAGAGGGAGAUCCCCCACACUGGUACUGAGACACGGACCAGACUCCUACGGGAGGCAGCAGUGAGGAAUAUUGGACAAUGGGCGCAAGCCUGAUCCAGCCAUGCCGCGUGCAGGAUGACGGUCCUAUGGAUUGUAAACUGCUUUUGCACAGGAAGAAACAACGCUACGUGUAGCGUCUUGACGGUACUGUGAGAA
RNAcentral lists this ribosomal RNA (476 nucleotides) under uncultured bacterium. RNAcentral describes it as "bacterial SSU rRNA". It matches the Rfam family "Bacterial small subunit ribosomal RNA", at positions 9 to 486 of the family's 1533-position model. The record is from RNAcentral.